UACGUAGGGUGCAAGCGUUAAUCGGAAUUACUGGGCGUAAAGCGUGCGCAGGCGGUUGUGCAAGACAGAUGUGAAAUCCCCGGGCUCAACCUGGGAACUGCAUUUGUGACUGCACGGCUAGAGUGUGUCAGAGGGGGGUAGAAUUCCACGUGUAGCAGUGAAAUGCGUAGAGAUGUGGAGGAAUACCGAUGGCGAAGGCAGCCCCCUGGGAUAGCACUGACGCUCAUGCACGAAAGCGUGGGGAGCAAACAGG
RNAcentral lists this ribosomal RNA (253 nucleotides) under uncultured bacterium. RNAcentral describes it as "partial 16S ribosomal RNA". It matches the Rfam family "Bacterial small subunit ribosomal RNA", at positions 524 to 776 of the family's 1533-position model. The record is from RNAcentral.